UUUAUUACUAAACUAGAGAAUUUAAAUUAGCAUCAUUUGAUCGUUAGUACAAGAGGGAUUUAAUAAGAGAGAACAGUUAAUGUAAUGGUCCAAAACGACAUUAACCAAUACUGCAUUUCUAAUGAGCUCUUUUAUCUCUCACUAUAGCGAAAUUCAAAUAUUAAAUCUUUUAUUAAAAUUCUUAUUGCUGAAUUUCAAAUAUAGGCAUACAUCAAAAACACUCACUGAAUAAUAAUAUAGUAGGUGCAGCGGG
RNAcentral lists this unclassified non-coding RNA (253 nucleotides) under Hevea brasiliensis (rubber tree). Lineage: Eukaryota; Viridiplantae; Streptophyta; Magnoliopsida; Malpighiales; Euphorbiaceae. The record is from RNAcentral.